UCCGGUUUAUCACCGGCAGUCUCCCAUGAGUCCCCACCAUGACGUGCUGGCAACAUGGGACGAGGGUUGCGCUCGUUGCGGGACUUAACCCAACAUCUCACGACACGGGCUGACGACAGCCAUGCACCACCUGUGCGCGGCCCUUGCGGACCCGACAUCUCUGCCGGAUUUCCGCGCAUGUCAAGCCCAGGUAAGGUUCUUCGCGUCGCAUCGAAUUAAUCCGCAUGCUCCGCCGCUUGUGCGGGCCCCCGUCAAUUCCUUUGAGUUUCAGCCUUGCGGCCGUACUCCCCAGGCGGGGUGCUUAACGCGUUAGCUGCGACGCUGAAAGGGUCGCUCCCCCCCGCAUCUAGCACCCAUCGUUUACGGCGUGGACUAC
RNAcentral lists this unclassified non-coding RNA (376 nucleotides) under uncultured Actinomycetes bacterium. RNAcentral's name for it is "uncultured actinobacterium contains 16S-23S intergenic spacer region". The record is from RNAcentral. Lineage: Bacteria; Bacillati; Actinomycetota; Actinomycetes.